GGCACUAUAGCCAAGUGGUUACGGCGAUAGAUUCGAAUGAAUGUUCAUCUAUUACUCUUUGAGUGCGCAGGUUCAAAUCCUGCUGGUGUCG
Molecule: non-coding RNA, 91 nt
Organism: Armillaria novae-zelandiae
Lineage: Eukaryota; Fungi; Basidiomycota; Agaricomycetes; Agaricales; Physalacriaceae
Source: the annotation of a GenBank genome assembly